UACGUAGGGGGCAAGCGUUGUUCGGAAUUACUGGGCGUAAAGGGCGCGUAGGCGGCCUGUUAAGUCGAACGUGAAAUCCCCGGGCUCAACCCGGGAACUGCGUCCGAUACUGGCAGGCUUGAAUCCGGGAGAGGGAUGUGGAAUUCCAGGUGUAGCGGUGAAAUGCGUAGAUAUCUGGAGGAACACCGGUGGCGAAGGCGGCAUCCUGGACCAACACUGACACUGAUGAGCGAAAGCCAGGGGAGCAAACGGG
RNAcentral lists this ribosomal RNA (253 nucleotides) under uncultured bacterium. RNAcentral's name for it is "partial 16S ribosomal RNA". It matches the Rfam family "Bacterial small subunit ribosomal RNA", at positions 524 to 776 of the family's 1533-position model. The record is from RNAcentral.